UUGGCCUGGGCGCUGCCUGGGGAGGUAUGCUGGGUGGGUGGUUAGACGCACCUGGGCAGGUCACCUCUGGCUGCUGCAAUGACUGUUUCAGAAAGGAGAAAGCAGAGGCCUCUAACGCAGGAGCUGCCUGUAUGGGGAACAGCCAGCACCAGGGCAGGCAGAUGGGGGCGGGGGCACACCCCCCAAUGAUCCUGCCCCUUCCCCUGCGAAAGCCCACCACACUUAGGCAGUGCGAAGUGCUCAUCCAUGAGCUGUGGAAUACCAACCUCCUGCAGACCCAAGAGCUGCAGCACCUCAAGUCCCUCCUGGAAGGGAGCCAGAGGUCCCAGGCGGCCCCAGAGGAAGCUAGCUUUCCCAGGGACCAAGAAGCCACGCAUUUCCCCAAGGUCUCCACCAAGAGCCUCUCCAGGAAAUGCCUGAGCCCACCUGUGGCGGAGCGUGCCAUCCUGCCCGCACUGAAGCAGACCCCGAAGAACAACUUUGCCGAGAGGCAGAAGAGGCUGCAGGCAAUGCAGAAACGGCGCCUGCAUCACUCAGUGCUUUGAGCCACCCGCAUCUGCUCAGUGCCAGGCCCACCAACCUGCAGCUGGAGACUGGCUCCCUAUAGCAUUUCCUGAUAUUUCCGCUACUUUUAGGCCUGGCUAAAUUCCAAGAUAGAUAACACUCAAGAUAGAUAAAGUAAUUGAUCUCCAAACUGAGAAACUGUUUAUUUUCUAGCUGUUAUUUUGCUAUUUGCCAUUUACAUAAAAGCAC
This 753-nucleotide long non-coding RNA is filed under the name Pan troglodytes (chimpanzee). RNAcentral's name for it is "long non-coding RNA NONPTRT011240". Lineage: Eukaryota; Metazoa; Chordata; Mammalia; Primates; Hominidae. The record is from RNAcentral.